Molecule: ribosomal RNA, 253 nt
Filed under: uncultured bacterium
Lineage: Bacteria
Description: partial 16S ribosomal RNA
Rfam family: Bacterial small subunit ribosomal RNA
Source: RNAcentral
UACAGAGGUCUCAAGCGUUGUUCGGAUUCAUUGGGCGUAAAGGGUGCGUAGGCGGCGCGGUAAGUCGGGUGUGAAAUCUUGGAGCUUAACUCCGAAACUGCAUUCGAUACUGCCGUGCUUGAGGACUGGAGAGGAGACUGGAAUUUACGGUGUAGCGGUGAAAUGCGUAGAUAUCUGGAGGAACACCGGUGGCGAAGGCGGCAUUCUGGACCAAUACUGACGCUGAGGAGCGAAAGCCAGGGGAGCAAACGGG